CAGCAGCCGCGGUAAUACGGAGGGUGCAAGCGUUAAUCGGAAUUACUGGGCGUAAAGCGCACGCAGGCGGUUUGUUAAGUCAGAUGUGAAAUCCCCGAGCUUAACUUGGGAACUGCAUUUGAAACUGGCAAGCUAGAGUCUUGUAGAGGGGGGUAGAAUUCCAGGUGUAGCGGUGAAAUGCGUAGAGAUCUGGAGGAAUACCGGUGGCGAAGGCGGCCCCCUGGACAAAGACUGACGCUCAGGUGCGAAAGCGUGGGGAGCAAACAGGAUUAGAUACCCGCGUAGUCCCUGUCUCUUAUAC
This 301-nucleotide ribosomal RNA is filed under the name uncultured bacterium. RNAcentral describes it as "partial 16S ribosomal RNA". It matches the Rfam family "Bacterial small subunit ribosomal RNA", at positions 509 to 807 of the family's 1533-position model. The record is from RNAcentral.